RNAcentral lists this transfer RNA (90 nucleotides) under Gammaproteobacteria bacterium. Its description in RNAcentral is "tRNA-Ser". It matches the Rfam family "tRNA". From Rfam's summary of the family: Transfer RNA (tRNA) molecules are approximately 80 nucleotides in length. RNAcentral also lists the same sequence under 2 other names. The record is from RNAcentral. Lineage: Bacteria; Pseudomonadati; Pseudomonadota; Gammaproteobacteria.
GGAGAGGUGACUGAGCGGUUGAAAGUACCGGUCUUGAAAACCGGCGAGGGUGUAAGCCCUCCGAGGGUUCGAAUCCCUCCCUCUCCGCCA